AUCUCCAAAGCACUUGACCCCUUCUUUUGCCUUCCCCCCUCCUCCACACCGACAAGACGAAGAAUUACAAGCGACCGACAAGAGGGGCAGGGAGGCAGUCCUCUUCCAUCCCUCUCUCCCCCUCUCUCUGAAACCUACUCAGGCGCACGCGCCCGUACAUGAGAGAAGAAGAGAGGGAGUGCGAUCUAUAACCACCUAAAAAAACACGGAUAACGUAAGGCAUAUCCCCCCCCCCACACGCGCGCGCGGAGUGUGUGUUGAUCAGCUGCUUUAAAAGAAUAUCUUAACGAAACGAAGCGUAGAAGAAGAGGACAAGAUUGACGCAAGAGAAUCUUCCCGGAGAAAAAGGCACACACAUACACGCAACGCAAUCAUAAUCGGAUCAAGGCCAGCCCCCCUUUUCCUCAGCGAAUACAAGCGAUACGGAAGCGACGAGGAAAAGCUAGCAAGGGCUCGCAAAGGCUUUCGCACCGCAUCCACGCGCGCAUUUUCUGGUACCAAGUGCCUGCGUGCGAGCCUCCUUGCGCGCCCCUAGCUCUUGUGUCGUCGCCUUUCCAUCCUCCUAAAUACCCCGCCUCCCCUGCCCAAGCCCCCCACCACGCCGUGUCUCGCUAUUUCUGCGGCAGUCCUCUUUAACGUAAUCUGCUCUCUUUGUUUGUCUCUCGACUCGUUGCCUGCUUUUCCGAGUAACUUGUUUUUUAUAUUUUCUUGUCUUCGACACCUCGUCCCAUUUUGCCGGCGGCUCGGACCCUUCCGCUCCGCUUAACUUCCUCGCCCUCUGCCCCCCCUCCCCUCCCCUCCCCUACCCCCGCGCGAUUGAAGUAUACGUAGGGGACUAUAUAUAUCUAUUUCAUUGUGAUUGUCGUUUGCGCGUCGGCUUUCCUCUGCGUGACGACGACAACGACGACAACGACGACACAGCACAGGUGUGAGAGAGAGAAAGUUGCUGCUGCUGCUGCUGCCCCUUUAUUUUCGGUUCUGUUUCGCUUGUUGGUUACCGUGUGGGCCGGUCCGAAUCGUGUGUGUGCGCGCGCGAGAAUCGGCGCCUGCGCGUUUUCGUUUCUCUGCCAGAGAGGGCGAAGCGGAGUGCACGCAUGCGCUUGCGCGUGUUUCGCACUUCGCUUCACGCACGAUCGGCGCCUGUCUGUUUCCUCUUCUUUCAUUGCCGGUGGGUUUUGAGAAACCAUUACGAGCGCUUGAGCUUCUUACCCAGGUUUCGUUGCACUCUUGAAGAGUGUGACACACAGACACCUCCCUCCUCUGUUUCCUGCCGACGCCGUGCAGCUAACACCGCACUCCGGUGCGCUUCAGUGGGACUCGCAUGUCUGCCAACAGGACCAGAGACAGCGAUGACGUCGUUCGCGCCGAGGUUGCGGCGGCACUGUCUGUCCCACCGCAGCAGUUGCCAUCUACCCGUGGUGGUGCAGCUGUUGCAGCGGCAGACGAGCAUCUCUACGGACCCCACACGAGCACCAUACGCAUGAAUCCAUACGUGCGCUGCGUACAAGAUAGCGGGGUGCCGAAAAUUUGCUCCCUCCAGGAGCUUCUCUCUCAGAAGAUCCAGCCAGACCCCGCGGAGCCAGAUACGCCGUGUCUUCGACCGAGUCACAGGCCGACAGCGGUGUGGGCGCAGGCCCCAGAACCGUCGAGCUUCGACGACGGCCGUGCGACAAUGACGCCGCCGCCUUGCCAGUCCACCUUCGAGCGCCACGCAGACCCCGCACUCGCUGGUGCUCCUGCGGCGAGCAAUCCGUCACCGGUGCUCACCUUCACCGCCGACGGCGUCGCCACGCCAAACACGUUUGCCACGGUCAAGACCCACGAAAUGCGCAUCUUGUCCCGCCUCACGAAGCGCCUGCGGUGGUCCGAGCGGCAUCAGGACAUGCCCUUUGGCGAGCCCGUGGAGAUGAUGCUGGCGGAGGCAGACGAGGGCGAGGACACUGAAGGGGGGUCCGAGGACAGAGACUCCGAGGUGAUUGAUGCUGUCCACUCAGGCCGCUCAGGCGCACUCGCGCCGUACCCAGAAGACCGUACCGAGAAGCAAGAUGAGGCUAGCGUGCAGCUUCUGCCCUGCUCCACACGUGACAAGGCCGAGGCGUCUGCGCUUCAGGAGACACCGCAGCACUUCGCGGCGGCCUCUCCUCAAGCGGCGGCUUCAAAUGCAUCCCCACAGCACGCGUCGGACUUGAAGGAGGGUACCGUGUCGGCCUCCUCAUCGGGCGGCAUUUUCUGCACCUUUGCCAGAGAUCCCACGCCCCCCGACGGACGGAAACUCCACACCACCGGCGUCAAGCACGCCGACUCCAGCGCCACCUCACCGCACCAGCCCCACUACACCCAUGGGCAGAAACAGCAGCAUUCACGGCCUGCUGUUGUGCCUCUGCGCACCACAUACCCUGCCCCGGUGGCGAGACUGGAGGAGAGCCCGUAUCACUACAUCAUGCGCAACUACAUUGGCGGGACCUUUCUCUACUAUAGCACGCCGGAGAGCAAGGACUACUUUUUGCGCCUAUGCCACCGCGUUGUGGCGCAGGUGCGACCUCUACUGGAGCAGGAAACGCUGUCGCCCCACCACGGCCUGUUCCCCCGCAUCAACGCGCCGGCCUUCGUCUUCGGUGACAUUCACGGCAACUUUGAGGACUUGUCCUUCUUCCUGAAACGGCUGCUGAUCUUCCACGACUUCAACCUCACCCCAGCAAACAUCUUGUGCCUCGGCGACUAUGUCGAUCGCGGCCCUUUCUCGCUCGAGUGCGUCAUGCUACUCUUCUCGCUCAAGAUCAUGAACUCAUCGAAGAUCGUCAUGCUGCGCGGCAACCACGAGGACCGCGUCGUCUGCGGUGACCUGCGCACCUACGGCCGCGGCUGCUUCCUGGCUCAGUGCCACACUGUCUUUGGCUACGCUGAGGGAACGAAACUGUUCCGCGAGGUGACGGCCCUGUUCAAGUACCUCCCGCUGGCGGCGGAGCUGGUGAUCCCGAGCACACCAAACUUAUCGUUUCUGCGGUCACAGCAGACUGUGAUGCACCCGAACCUUUACGUGAGCCAGCCAGCAGUGCUGCUCCACGAUGGCAUUCGGGCCAAGCGGACCGCGCCAACGAUCUCGCUGGCAUCCGGCUCGGCGACAAGGGCGUCUCCGUUCGGCUCGCAGCACCUCCGCACGCUGCACCGCGACGGCGAAGUGGCUAGCGGCGACAGGGAAGGUGACGAGGCCCUCUCCAAGAACUCGGCCAGCGCGGAGGCGGUGUCCCCGCUGCCGACCGGCUACAGCACGAUCGCGGACGCCUCUCUCGCACGUGGGCAGCCGUCCCGGCACGAGGCUCACGAAGAGCGCAUCUUGUGCACCCACGGCGGCAUUCCCCGCUUUGAUCGCUCGCCGUGUGAGGAGAACUCGCUCGCCUUUCUGCGCAGUCUCUCCUUCCCCCGCAUGCUCACGUUGUUCCCGAACAACCCGGUUGUGAAGGAUGACGCCGAGUGCAUGCCGGACUACUUCGUGAAGCAGGAGCUGGAGGCGCUAUGGCGCCGCUACCCGUCUGCCGCUCCACCUGGUUUCACGGCGGCGUGCCGACGAGAGGCCGCAGAAGCCGCCGCCGCCGCCGCAACUGCCACCACCGGUACCCCGGCGGCGUCCAGGCCCUUGGAUGCUUUGCCUUCUUCCCUCAAGCUGCAGAGAAAGGCGAGUAGCAGCAGCGCCGGCAGCAGUGCGAGCGGCCACGAAUCUGCCGCAGCGGCAGUGCCGCCAGAGGCGGAAGCAUCGUCUCGCCCCUCGUCGUGCUCGGCGGCGUCCUCCGUGUCCCCUAAGGCGAGGGUGGUGCCCGGUGGGCAGAGCGAGCAGCAGCAGCCACAACGCCACAAGUCGCCACCCGCUAUGCGCAGCAGCAGCGACUAUUUGCCGCAGUUGACCGAGGACGACGUGCGCAAGGGCUGGUACACCAUGUUCGACUUGCUCUGGUCGGACCCAACCCCGAUGGAGCUGGAAGAGGAGGCGGCAUGCGUGGACUGGGAGUCUUCUCGUGUCGCUGGCGGCGAACACGGCGCUCACCGAAGCACGGCAUCUUCCUCCUCGACGACCGCCGCUAGAGGGUCGACAUCACGCGUGCACGUCAACGAGUGGGGCUUCACCGUCAACACCCGCGGCAGCAACGUUGUCUCCUUCUCCGCCAAGGCGGUGGACACGUUCCUCACGGCGUACCAUUACUCGAUGCUCUUCCGCGCUCAUCAGGAGAAGGCGCAUGGGCUACGGUGGAGUAAGAGCAGCAAGGUGCUUACCAUCUUCAGCAGCAGCAACUACAUGGGCCACCGCAACGGCGCUGGCUGCGUCGUCGUCGCCGCCAACGGCGAGGUGCAGAUGAUUGAGAAGGUGGUGACCAUGUGACUCUUGGGAUGGCCUACAGCAAGGGAGAAGAGUGAACCACAAACCCAUAGACGCAUACGCAGAUACACUCAUCAAGCACUUCGAUUUGUUUCUAUCGCGACGCUGCGGCGCACUGCCUCGGACAGCCAUGUCUCUAUGGGCUUGGUGGGGCAGUGUGUUCUCGUGAUGGGCUGUGCUGCCCAUGGUUGUCAAAUCUUUCUUCCUCGUUCGCUCCUUCUCCCUUGGCUUCAGCUCCAGCUCG
This 4613-nucleotide unclassified non-coding RNA is filed under the name Leishmania donovani. Its description in RNAcentral is "gene:LdHU3.26.2760(CDS-product:serine/threonine_p rotein_phosphatase-like_protein)". Lineage: Eukaryota; Euglenozoa; Kinetoplastea; Trypanosomatida; Trypanosomatidae. The record is from RNAcentral.